UGCCAUUUUAUGUAAAACACAGGCUUA
Molecule: non-coding RNA, 27 nt
Filed under: Rattus norvegicus (Norway rat)
Lineage: Eukaryota; Metazoa; Chordata; Mammalia; Rodentia; Muridae
Source: RNAcentral